This 97-nucleotide transfer RNA is filed under the name Candidatus Aenigmatarchaeota archaeon. Its description in RNAcentral is "tRNA-Gln". It matches the Rfam family "tRNA". From Rfam's summary of the family: Transfer RNA (tRNA) molecules are approximately 80 nucleotides in length. Their secondary structure includes four short double-helical elements and three loops (D, anti-codon, and T loops). Lineage: Archaea; Nanobdellati; Candidatus Aenigmatarchaeota. The record is from RNAcentral.
AGCCCGGUAGUCUAGCGGUCAAAAUGGGCCUAGAGAUGACUAAGGAUAGCGGGCUCUGGACCCGUUGACGGGAGUUCGAAUCUCCCCCGGGCUACCA